AUAUUGGACAAUGGGCGAAAGCCUGAUCCAGCCAUGCCGCGUGUGUGAAGAAGGGCUUCGGAUUGUAAAGCACUUUAAGUUGGGAGGAAGGGCAUUAACCUAAUACGUUAGUGUCUUGACGUUACCGGAAGAAUAAGCACCGGCUAACUCGGUGCCAGCAGCCGCGGUAAUACAGAGGGUGCAAGCGUUAACCGGAAUUACUGGGCGUAAAGCGCGCGUAGGUGGUUCGUUAAGUUGGAUGUGAAAUCCCCGGGCUCGACCUGGGAACUGCAUCCAAAACUGGCGAGCUAGAGUAUGGUAGAGGGUGGUGGAAUUUCCUGUGUAGCGGUGAAAUGCGUAGAUAUAGGAAGGAACACCAGUGGCGAAGGCGACCACCUGGACUGAUACUGACACUGAGGUGCGAAAGCGUGGGGAGCAAACAGG
This 423-nucleotide ribosomal RNA is filed under the name uncultured bacterium. RNAcentral describes it as "bacterial SSU rRNA". It matches the Rfam family "Bacterial small subunit ribosomal RNA", at positions 361 to 776 of the family's 1533-position model. The record is from RNAcentral.